UAGGGAAUCUUCGGCAAUGGACGAAAGUCUGACCGAGCAACGCCGCGUGAGUGAAGAAGGUUUUCGGAUCGUAAAACUCUGUUGGUAGAGAAGAACGUUGGUGAGAGUGGAAAGCUCAUCAAGUGACGGUAAGUACCCAGAAAGGGACGGCUAACUACGUGCCAC
This 165-nucleotide ribosomal RNA is filed under the name uncultured bacterium. RNAcentral's name for it is "partial 16S rRNA". It matches the Rfam family "Bacterial small subunit ribosomal RNA", at positions 355 to 511 of the family's 1533-position model. The record is from RNAcentral.